GACCUCGUAGCUCAGUUGGUUAGAGAGUUGGCUGUACUAAAGCCUUCCCCUAACUGGCGUAGGUUCCAAUCCCACCGAGGUCG
Molecule: non-coding RNA, 83 nt
Organism: Schistocephalus solidus
Lineage: Eukaryota; Metazoa; Platyhelminthes; Cestoda; Diphyllobothriidea; Diphyllobothriidae
Source: Rfam